UGCCCGCCGGUUUUUCCCCACCUCCCCGUCCCCCAGCUCGCAAAUAGAUCGUGCCCCACCCACGAUCCUCCGUACCGUUCCUCCCGCCGGCGAAAUAGAUCCUCGCUCCAUCCGUCCUCCCGCCGGCGAUCCUCCGGUGAUGCGCCGGGCGCCGCCCUCCCUCGUGCUUUCCAGCCUCGCCGGCUCUCGUCCCGCCCCUGCAACACCCUGCGCCACCCUCCGCCGCCGGCUGCCAUCGGCAGGCUUCCCGUCGGUAACCCACGGGCUACCCCCGCGAAGGGCUGCGCGGCCGGCCCCCCUACCGACCCGGCGAGGCACCCUCGCCUGUCCCCAAUCUCGCGAUUCGGGCCCUCCCCGCUCCCCGGCGACCCUCUGGUGAGGCGCGGUCCUGUCCCCCCCCCCCCCUCGCCGUCCGGCGAGGUCCUACGCUGCCGGCUACCUGCAGCCUCUGGACGUCAGCGCGUCGCCCUCCCCGACGCGCUCCUCCUCCUCGUGCUUGCCUGCCUCGGAUCCACGGCCAAGGCUGCGCGCACAAGCAGUGUCGCUCGGCGGUGGCGCCCGCUCUGGACCGAGCUCGACGUGCUGGUGUUCCGCCGCGUCGACCCCGACACGCUCGCCGGCCUGCUCGCCAGGGCCAGGCACCCCAACCUCCGCCGCCUCGAGAUCUAGAUCUCCAUGCCGGACCAGGCGCUCCCGGCCUGGCAGAUGUCCUCGCUGCUCCGCACCGCCGAGGAGCACAACCCGGAGGAGCACGUCUUCAACGUGGCCAGCCGGGGCUACCUCGGCGUCCCGGCGCUCCCUCCUCCCUACACCGCCCCCUCCCGAUGGCGCUCCCCUCCUCCCGGGCCGAUGGCGUUGCCUCCGCCUGACGCCGCCCCUCCUCCUGAUGGCGCUCCCUCCUCCCAGCUCGUGGUCCGUUCCGGACGACGUUCCUCCCGUUGCUGAUCCGGGUACUGGCGCCGCCCACCGCCCGCUGCUGGCUAGCCCCUGCGUGUUCCCGCAUUCAUGGAGACGAUCUCCCGUUCCCAACGCCGCUCAAUCCUCGCAUCGCCAUUCCGCGAGUCCGAUCUGCCCUCCUGUCUCCGGCGAUCCUCCUCCGGCCUGCCUUCCUAUCAGUCUUAGCAUCAUUGAACUCUAUUGAACCGGCAUGCGGAUGCGGGGAAUUAGGCAACGGUGACGGCAUGGAGCUGGCAGUUGUGGGGGGUCCAACGGCAACGGCAUCGAGCAAGCUGCUAUGAGGUUUCUGGAGGUGGACAAUGAGUUUCACAUCACCGGAUCGGCAAGUGCAGCUGCGUACAGUGGUGGAAUUCCAGGUGACGAAAGGAAUAAUAAUUAAAAUCUGGGCACACACAGUUUGCACUAUCAAACUCUGCAGCUAAUGGAGGCAUUACCAAUUCAUCAGAUACCAGAGGGAGGAGGUGAAGAUACAGGAGUGGGUGAGUUGCCAGAAAUCUAAAUGACUAAGUUUGAAGCUGGCUGCGCAGUGCAGUGUGAUUGUUGAUGAGUUUAUUGGUGCACGGAGAUCAUCUGAUACAAUCAUCAUAGGUGAGGCAUCGAGCAGGUGCAUUGGAGCAAAUUAGGAUGAUUGAUAUGAUUCUCAACAUGUCAGUGCAUUCGGAUGUGCGGAUAAUGUAUCCAGAAGUCUCUUAAUGACUGCCUUCUUUGCAAUGAAAAUUCUGGAAUACUGUGAUGGUGAAGGCCAUGGCUGCCUAAAGACUAAUAUAAAUCUGGCACGAUCAGCUGGGAUGAGGGAUGAGAUGCUGCAUUACCGACGAGCUUCUCUAGUUUAGUAUUGAAGGGUUCCCCUUCCAUUUAAAUAUUUAUCUGAAGUAUAGUGUGUGCUAGCUAGAUCAGUGUCCCAGUGCCUCCUUUCAUUGUCCAUAUAUACAUGUUACCCUGUUACACAAAUUAACUUGGUGAACAAAUAUGCUGCUAGUAAAGUCAGUCUGUUGUAUUUGA
Molecule: long non-coding RNA, 1959 nt
Organism: Panicum hallii
Lineage: Eukaryota; Viridiplantae; Streptophyta; Magnoliopsida; Poales; Poaceae
Exons: 5
Source: RefSeq, a predicted model, not a curated record